Molecule: RNA transcript, 1923 nt
Organism: Nelumbo nucifera (sacred lotus)
Lineage: Eukaryota; Viridiplantae; Streptophyta; Magnoliopsida; Proteales; Nelumbonaceae
Gene name: Radical SAM superfamily protein
Source: RefSeq, a predicted model, not a curated record
AGUUCAGAUUCGGACCCGUCACUACUCACUUGUCUGGCUUUACUAACCUUUAGGGUUAAGGAGAACUCCUGGGUUGUAGGCCCGAAUCCGGUCCAAUCCGCCUAAGUUGUACUCUACGUCUAUCCCCUGUUAUCGGCGCUCGCCCUCGGGCCUCAGUCUGUUCUUCCCGCCGUGAGGCGGAAGCCGAGUUUCAUAAACCCUUUUUUCGGUUGGGAGAAAAAAAAGAAAAACAAUAUUAUAAUACAGUGAAUCGGAGAAAAGCUGUUAGUCCAGGACUCCAGAACGAAUGCUACAUAGUGAAAACUGGACAGCAAAGUGGGAUGAAUAAUGGCUCUGCGGUCCGUUUUCGACGAGGGAGUUAUCAGAAGCGAGUUCGAGAAGGCGGGAAUCGACACUCAGUUUAUACCCCUCAUUUGGAAAUACGUUCUUCAGAACCCUAAUCGUGAAUUGGAUGAAGUUCCUUCGUUGCCGUCAGCUGCUUACCCUUUGCUUCGUUCAAAGUUCAGAUCUUCCACUUCGACCAUCAAUUCUAUCGUCGAAUCCAAUGAUAACGUUACCACUAAGCUUCUUAUAAGGCUACAGAAUGGAGCUUUUAUUGAAGCUGUUAUUAUGAGAUAUGACACACGUUUAGGAACAUAUGGUGGAAAACCCCGUCCUGGAGGCUUAAGAUCAACUCUGUGCAUAUCAUCCCAGGUGGGUUGCAAAAUGGGUUGUAAGUUCUGUGCAACUGGUAGCAUGGGGUUGAAAAGCAAUCUUUCAUCAGGAGAAAUUGUGGAACAAUUGGUCCAUGCCUGUCGUUUGUCACAUAUACGCAAUGUUGUUUUCAUGGGAAUGGGCGAACCAUUGAAUAACUACAUUGCAGUAGUAGAAGCUAUCCGGACUAUGACAGGAUUUCCGUUUCAGCUGUCACCAAAGAAAAUUACAGUAUCAACUGUUGGGAUCAUUCACGCCAUCAACAAACUCCAUUCUGACCUACCAAAUGUGAACUUGGCUGUGUCACUGCAUGCACCGGUUCAAGAUAUCCGCUGCCAAAUAAUGCCUGCAGCUCGUGCUUUUCCUCUUGAAAGACUUAUGGAUACAUUAAAAAACUAUCAAAAAAACAGUCAACAGAAAAUAUUUAUUGAGUACAUAAUGCUGAAUGGGGUGAAUGAUGAAGAGAAGCAUGCCCACCAGCUUGGAAAAUUGCUAGAGACAUUUCAAGUGGUUGUAAACUUGAUACCUUUCAAUCCAAUUGGUAGUUUGAGUCCUUUCAAAAGUAGCAAUGAACAAGCUGUUAAAAGCUUCCAGAAGAUCCUUAGAGGUACGUAUGGCAUCAGGACAACGAUUCGUAAACAAAUGGGUCAAGAUAUAAGCGGUGCAUGUGGUCAACUGGUGGUGAAUCUCCCAGAUAAGGAAUUGAUUAGAAGCUCAGGUCUCACAACCGACAUCGAAGAUCUUUGUGCUGGAUAGAGUCAAAUCCUUUGGUAUUCUCUUUCCGUUUCUGGCAUUGAGGUCAGGCUUCAUAUGUGAUCCACAAAUCUAAGAAGAUUGGUACAACAGAGAGAUUACUCGACUAGCCCUCUGCGCAAGAGCAAGCGCAAGCAAUGCUACUUUAUCAUUAACGCAUUGGCUUGGCUAGCCUGGACAAAGCCCCAACAGUCAGUCUUCACAAGCACUGAUGAAAAGCCAGCUCUUCGAACUAAAUCCAAGCCCCGUAGAACAGCUAAGGCUUCACGCUUCAGGCUGCACGGAAGAAGUUGCCUUAGAACUUAGAAGGGCCUGAGUAAGCAGCUAAGCCCUGGAGAGUGGAGAUGUAUACCUUGACACUAGGAAACAACACCAAAGGUGCAUCCCCUUUAUUGUACGUUAACGGUAGGACCCAUGAAAAGGCAAAUUGUAAGUCAAAGUUUGAAAUGCGAAAGUUCCCUCCAUGGCUCCAUUGUC